RNAcentral lists this non-coding RNA (813 nucleotides) under Procapritermes martyni. Lineage: Eukaryota; Metazoa; Arthropoda; Insecta; Blattodea; Termitidae. The record is from RNAcentral.
GUUAAGUUUUAUUCUUGCUUUUUCAUUCAGUUUUUAUUUGUUCUAUAUGUAAAUUUUUGUGUGAAUUUAAUUAUAUUGAUUCUAGAUGGGUUAAUAUAUUUUUUUAUUCUCAUUAGUUAUUAUUGGUUGGUCAAGUAUUUUUGUAUUCAGCAAUAUUUUUAGUUUCGGUUAAAUUUUGUGCCAGCAGCCGCGGUUAUACCUUGGAAGCAUUUGAAUGUGUUUGGCAUAUGUAGUUAUAUUAUUUAGUUUGUUUAAUUUUUUUAUAAUAGUUGUUAGGUGAAAUUUUUUUUAUUUUUUAUUUUGUUUUUCUAUUUGGAGGCUAUGAAAUUCUUUUUAUAAACUAGGAUUAGAUACCCUAUUAUUUUUGAAUGUUAAUUUUUUUUGUGCUUGAGUAGUAUUAGUUAUGUUCUUGAAACUUAAAGAAUUUGGCGGUAUCUCAUUCCGUCCAGAGGAAUCUGUCUCGUUAUCGAUAGUCCGCGUUGGACCUUACUUAGUUUAAUAGGGUUUGUAUACCGCCGUUUAUUGAUUAUCUUUUUAGAGUUUUAUUUAAUUUUCUAGUUUCUUUAUUUUGAUUUAUUUCAGGUCAAGGUGCAGCUUGUUUCUAAGUGGAAUGAUGGAUUACAUUAUUAUUUGUUUUAUGGAUUAUUAAUUUUAAUAUUAAUAUGAAAUUGGAUUUGGUUGUAAUUAUUUGUAGAUUGUUAUUAUGAUAAAUGGUUCUGAGAUAUGCACACAUCGCCCGUCGCUCUCGUUUAAUAUUAUUAAUGAGAUAAGUCGUAACAAAGUGGUUGUACCGGAAGGUGCAGCUGGAUUGAU